AGAAGAUGCUGCCAAUUGCGCGGAGGAAAAGUAUUGCAAACCUGCUUCUCUUCUGUGCUGGGGUCUGUACCAAUGUUUAUUGAACCAAACAAGGUCCCUACCUUACAGAAGAUGCUUCUUGAAGGAUGGCGUGUUAAUCUUCUAAGUAUGUUCUGGUUGGGAGGAUAGAGCACUGUCACAGCUACAGUGAGCACUGUCACAGCUACAGCUAUACCUCUGCAAAGCCAGGAAAAACACGUUCCCUAGGAGAGUCUCUAGCCUUAAUCUGUAGCUGCAAAUAGAAAUGACAACUCAUUUUCUCAAUAAUGAAAUGUUUUUGGGUAGGGCUAAAAGCAGAAUGAACCACCAAAAAGCCCCUUUUGACAUGUUGCCUGUGUAAAGACAAA
This 386-nucleotide long non-coding RNA is filed under the name Pan troglodytes (chimpanzee). Its description in RNAcentral is "lincRNA". The record is from RNAcentral. Lineage: Eukaryota; Metazoa; Chordata; Mammalia; Primates; Hominidae.